GCUCACGUGUGCACGCUCGCACAUUUCCUCGGCCGCCAUGUGUGUGUUUGUGCGCGUGUUACGGUGACGGCGGUGAUUGACAGGCCGCUCCGCAGGGCAUUCUGCCGUCCUGAGACAGGAAACGCAGACAGCGAGGAGGACUCGAGGGAAAAAUCUGCACAGUGAUAAUUACAGCGGCCUUCACCUCCUCCACUUAACCUCAGCGUGAUCAAAAUCAUUCCCCCGGAAGCGUUUUCUGUGAGGAGAGAAAAGCAACCUAAGCAAGGUGAAGUCACACACAUGGUUCUCAAAAGCCUGCAAAGUGUAACAUCAAAAGAGAGCAAGAAGUCACAGGGAAAGGCAGAGCUGAUGAUACAGGUUUCCCAGAGACUAUGGGUUGAGGAGGAAGUGGAAGUUUGUCGGCUUAGACCUGGUGUCAUUCCAUCAGUGUUAAACUUCCCGGCUCAUCUUGGAAGAGUACGUGCCAGAAAGACCACGACCAAGCAGCCUUGAGAUCUUAGACAGCGUCUCCCUGAGGUCCCUCUCUAUCUCCCCACACAUCCACCAACCACUGGAACACAUCUCCAAAGUUCUGCUGGACCAGCUCAGCUUCCCCUCAGAAGAAGUGCUGCCACCUGCCAGAUGAAGGAGCCUUUUGAGAGGCAGCUGGCAUCGUGAUUGGACUGUACUUUGGUCUGUUCCAAUCCAGCUUCAGCUCCAGAGACGGCAGGCGGGACGAGUCAACGGAGGCCGGAUGGACGAAGGCAUGAAGCUGAGUACAAUCCAGAAAACAACAGAGGAGGAGUGCAGCGGCCCAGAGCCAGAACAACCAGAGUAGCAUCACCAAAGAACUACAGACUCUUCACAACCUGCUCAAACUCUUGGUACAGGACCUCACCACACGGGUCAAGAAGGUUUCUGUCUCAUUUCUACUCUGAAGCUCACCUUCUCCUGCUCAAACUGCUGACAAAUGUUUCUGCUGCUCUAAAGUCUGGUCUCCAGAACUUCCUAAAAACUCUCAAAGUCUCUUCUGCUGCAGGUUGCUUUGUAGAACUGUUCCAGAAAACCUCACUAAACCACAUGGAGGGGCUUCAAGAUAGUCGUCCAAAUGAAACCAUACAAAAACCAAACUAGCACAACCCAAACACUAAAGUCUCCUGCAGCCUACCAGAGAACCUCUGAGAACAGAGAAUCAGGACAGGAACUCUUACCUUCUGGACAACCAACGUUGGUUCUCAAACAAGAAUACAGAAUGUGUCUGACCAGAAACCUCUGAAGACUCACUACAGCCAAGAUAAAGACACAACUCAGCUGCACCAAAUCCACUAAUCACUGCACACAUUAGCACCAUGUGCUAACUGUGGCUAAAGAACCACAUUUACCAAGACAACUAUCCAGUACAAAGCCCUAAAACACACCAAGAAACACAUUAAAGACGAUUUUACUGCUGGAAGCUGCAAGCCAACGCCUAAAGAACAAACUCAAGCAACGGAACCAAACCCGGUUCAGUGGUGGAGAGAAGCAGAGGAAAUGUUUGUCUGCAGCUAAAUAAAGCAGGAAGACACUGAGCUGCUCAGGUGUUCCUGAUAACACCAAGCUGCUCAGGUGUUCCUGAUAACACCAAGCAGCCACCUGGACAGCCAAUAGGAACACAGCUUACUGGAAGUUCAGAGGGCUGGGUUACUGAAGGAAAUUUAGUUUAAAGUUGAGGCAGAAAGUUAAUAAACAAAGUUGAAAACCACCUUCUGAUACCUGAAAUCUCUGAGUUUUCACACAAAGAACACCUGAACAUGUCAAACUGGUUCCAUAGUAGAACCCUCAUUGUAAAAACAUCAUAGUAUGGUGUGUUGCUCAAAAAACAUUAGGACCUGGCUGUCAGGGGACAAACAUGUAAGAAACAUGAGAACAGAGAGAACCCAACCAGUAGGUCACAGUUUAUCAUCCCCCAGUCAUCUCCUGAAGUCCAUAUGGUGAGAGACAUCAGUAUCUGGUUGUUCAUUUACCAGAGGAUGCUUAUAAUCAUGCUGAUGUGGUCUGUACUCUACAGUAUUUUAGUGACUCAAUAAAUGCCAAAGUUUUUUUUUUUUUUAAAUGCUUUUUAGUUUUUAAUCAACAUUUAAUAGCCUAUAUGUAAUCAAUAAAUGGCCUUUGCCUAUCUUAAGAAAAAUUCACUCAGAACUCUGAUAUGUUAACAGUACUAAAUAAAUCAAUAAAUACAUGCAUACACACAAAAAUAAGUUAAUACAUUAACUGUGUUAAGAUUUAGAUUUUAAAAAAAGUUGUUUAUGUUUUUGCAGAAUCCAGUAUUGCUCACUGGUUGGUCAUUACAUUUUGUUAGUUUGAUUUCACUGUUUAAAAUGAUGCCACCUCUUUUCAGACAGAACCUGUGAUAAUAAAACAAUACAAAAUUUUUAGUUCUGUGUUAAUAAAGCACUUAAAGCUUUAAGUAUGGCUAAAUGCUUUUUUCAAAAUUAAAUAUGUCACUCCUUAGGUGGUAGUGGCCCCAAGUUCAGUAAAGUUGGAAAGAUAUUCACAGAUUCGGGCUUCCAGCAUCAAUAACUCAUUAGAUAUAGGUUUUCAAAACAUAAACGGUUCCUCUUUCCCAUUGUUGCAAGGCAGACAAUGUGCUACAAGCCCAGUUUUAUCAAAAGUAGCCGUCUUUCAAGCUACAGGAAUAACAUUGGUGUCUAUGGAGUGAACAGGGUCCGUCUGCAAUUUGCAAAACCGCUGCAACAGUAAAGAGAGACAAAUAUUCAAUAACUUCACUCUUAUACAUUGUAGUGUCACUAAAAUCACUGCAGCCUUCAACUGGCUCCUGUUGACAAAGUGUUUUAACAGAAAUGUAAAUGCUGUAAUUUGAUUCUUUUAAUGAACCAUGUAACUUGAAUGGAUGUGAUGCAGGUGUGACCACAGUGCACACGUCUGAUGUUGCUCACAGUGGUCCAAGGGACGCUCAGGGAGUUUGUGUGUUUGCUCACACUCAGACUGAAAAAUUACAGGGAACAUUGGUUACAAGAAUUGUUUGACUCAAGGUUAAGAGUGGUAGUUAAUGUGACACCAGGAGCUUUGAUGAAGCCUUACAUUUUACAAAUAUGACUCUAU
Molecule: long non-coding RNA, 3081 nt
Organism: Amphiprion ocellaris (clown anemonefish)
Lineage: Eukaryota; Metazoa; Chordata; Actinopteri; Pomacentridae
Exons: 5
Source: RefSeq, a predicted model, not a curated record